RNAcentral lists this long non-coding RNA (925 nucleotides) under Gossypium barbadense (sea-island cotton). RNAcentral's name for it is "long non-coding RNA (GBAR_LNC006390)". Lineage: Eukaryota; Viridiplantae; Streptophyta; Magnoliopsida; Malvales; Malvaceae. The record is from RNAcentral.
GUCGACCUCUGACUGUCUACAUCUGUGUUUGCAUAAUCCGCAUAUAACUCGAGUAUUGGUGAUUCAUUAGCUAUAUGCAUCUACAUCAUCACCUCCAUCCCCCUUGCACCUCUGAUAUCGAAAGCUUCAUAUUUGACGGGGUCGACCAAAGCAUAAAACCUAUAUUUCAGUGGCGAUACUCUCAUCUGGUUGGAUCUGACGAUUUUUAGCCUAAUUCUUCCACGCGACUCAGGCAAUUGUAUGUUCGAGUUGAAAGCCAACUAUGAUAUAUUCUCCAAUGAAAAAUGACCCUAAUUUCGGUGUCACAGACUUUACUGUCGUAAUAAAUAAUAGCAUUAAUUCAUCCACUCAUUUUCAACGAAAUAACAUAUUUCACAUGUUCGAAACAAAAAAACAUUAUGCAAAAAAAUAGUGUUGUAAUUAAAUAUGAACAUCAAAAAUCGAUCCUUACUUGAUGCAAUUAUGUGGUUGCUCCAAAUUAUGCCUUAUGAAAUGCCCUGUGAACUUCCUCUUCUUCCGAUUCUUCUUGCAAUUUUGCUUGCUUGAAAUUGCCUUAUGACACUCAAUUUUGAAAGUCAUCCUUUUAUAGAGUCGCGGUGAGUGGCAAUUGAUUCAUAAAAUAUUCUCAGGUAAGUGAGAAGUUUGCAUGCGUUGAAUUUGGUAGAGGAAAAACACUCCACGAAGGGCUUGUUUUUAGUGACAUGUCAAAAAUAUCCACUGAAAAUAUGCCCAGAUGGACGCGUUUUCAGUGCACUGUCAGAAAAAUGCACUGAAAGCACGUCUAGUUGGACACGUUUUUAGCUGACAUGGCAUGAAAAUACGUCCAGCUGGACGGGCUUUUAGUUCAUUUUUUGACAGUGCAUUGAAAACGCAUCCUACGUUGAGCAUUUUCUCACUAUCACUUUCAACUCCUACAAUUUCCUGC